This is a long non-coding RNA of Pseudopipra pipra, 844 nucleotides long. RefSeq lists it as uncharacterized. Lineage: Eukaryota; Metazoa; Chordata; Aves; Passeriformes; Pipridae. The record is from RefSeq and is a predicted model, not a curated record. The transcript is spliced from 2 exons.
CCUGCGUAGUGACUUCUGCUCUCUGACUGGGGGACAGGCUGCUGGGUUUGGGUGAGGUUUCUCUUCUCCUGAUGUUUUAAAUGUUCUCAGAAUCCACAGGUAAAUCUUUGUCUACGGGAGAAAGCUCAAAAUAAACAAAAGAGAGAGCAGCUGGAACACUUGUGGAAGGACAUGGGCAGCGUGUGUGUGCAGGGCAGCACACUGGCAGGACCUGAUGCUUCUGCAAUGGGUCCCUCUGAGCUAAUACUAACACGAGGAACUCUCGAUGAAGAGCAAGAAGAGAGGGAGAGUGAUGCUGAUGGCAUUGACCAUGAAGGUAAGGGAAUGAGGUCUAAAAGCUGCCUCUCAAGAAAUCCCCUCUAUAUUUCAUGUCCUGGAUGGACUGUAAGGAGAGCCUAGAAAACAAGCAAACAUUCAGUCACCUGACGUGUCAGAAUCUGUAGCAGAAGCUCAACUGCAAUGGUCAGUGCAGGGAUAUCACUCUGUAACCUUUGUGAAAGUUCAAUUGUAAAUUUUCUAUUCAAGUAAUUAAUAGGUGUAUAACACACAUAAACCAGAGAACUCGUUAGGCUUGGGGCAUGCAGUGACCUCUGAACCUGAUUGAUGCACAGAUGUGUCCAUCAUCUUUUUGGCCUUACAGUUUCUGCCCCUGGCUCUCUUCCCUUUUCCUGUGACUGUGGUCUUGGAGCAAUCUUCUAAGUUGUUACAGUGUGAUUUUUCUCUUCUAUAGCUCACAGACUUAAUCUUCAUUCUUUCCCUGUUCCACUGAUGGGUAGGAUCACUUAUUUCCUUUGCCCUGUAAUGUAGCUGAAGAUGGAAUAGACUUUCUAUGUUGCUUUGGCUA